GACAGAGGCCUCAAGCGUUAGGCGGAAUCACUGGGCUUAAAGCGUGUGUAGGCGGAUCGUUAAGUGCCUUGUGAAAUCCCACGGCUUAACUGUGGAACGGCUGGGCAUACUGGCGGUCUUGAGCCAUCUAGGGGCGACUGGAACAAACGGUGGAGCGGUGAAAUGCGUAGAUAUCGGGAGGAACACCAGUGGCGAAGGCGACUUCCUGGCCUGUUCUUGACGCUGAGGCGCGAAAGCUAGGGGAGCAAACGGG
Molecule: ribosomal RNA, 253 nt
Filed under: uncultured bacterium
Lineage: Bacteria
Description: partial 16S ribosomal RNA
Rfam family: Bacterial small subunit ribosomal RNA
Source: RNAcentral